RNAcentral lists this ribosomal RNA (2387 nucleotides) under human gut metagenome. Its description in RNAcentral is "bacterial LSU rRNA". It matches the Rfam family "Bacterial large subunit ribosomal RNA", at positions 14 to 2419 of the family's 2925-position model. The record is from RNAcentral.
AGGGCGUACAGUGAAUGCCUUGGCAUUAGAAGACGAAGAAGGACGCGAUAACCUGCGAAAAGCUCAGGGGAGCUGGACAUAAGCCUUGAUCCUGAGAUAUCCGAAUGGGGGAACCCGGCAUAAGUCAUGUUAUGUCAUCCUGUUAUGAAUCAAUAGUAACAGAGAAGGAAGACCUGGGGAAUUGAAACAUCUUAGUACCCAGAGGAAAAGAAAGAGAAGAAUCGAUUCCGAGAGUAGCGGCGAGCGAAAGCGGAGGAGCCCAAACCGAUGAAGAAUCGGGGUAAGGACUGCGAGAAGAGAUGAUAUCAUCCGAGAAGAAUGGCGUGGGAAAGCCAACCGAAGAAGGUGAGAGUCCUGUAAGCAUAGGGGUGAUAUACUCAAGCAGAAUCCGGAGUACGGCGAGGCACGAGGAACCUUGUCGGAAUGAGUGCAGACCAUUGCAUAAGGCUAAAUACUAACUAAUGACCGAUAGUGAACCAGUACCGUGAGGGAAAGGUGAAAAGAACCCCGGGAGGGGAGUGAAAAGAAUCUGAAACUGUAUGCCUACAAGAAGUCAGAGGGCGUUAAAGCCUGAUGACGUGCCUAUUGAAGAAUGAGCCGGCGAGUUAUGUUAUCGUGCAAGAUUAAGUAGAAGAUACGGAGUCGAAGCGAAAGCGAGUCUGAAAAGGGCGAGGAGUACGAUGACAUAGACCCGAAACGGGAUGAGCUAGCCAUGAGCAGGUUGAAGGUGGAGUAGAAUCCACUGGAGGACCGAACCGACGUUCGUUGAAACGCCCGCGGAUGACUUGUGGCUAGGGGUGAAAUUCCAAUCGAAUUCCGUUAUAGCUGGUUCUCCCCGAAAUAGUUUUAGGACUAGCGUCAGGGUGAAGUUUAUGGGAGGUAGAGCACUGAAUGUGUGAUGGCCGCGUCAAGUGGUACUGAAUACAAUCAAACUCCGAAUGCCGAUAAAUAUACCUGGCAGUCAGACUGUGGGAGAUAAGUUCCAUGGUCAAAAGGGAAACAGCCCAGACCGUCAAAUAAGGUCCCAAAGUAUAUGCUAAGUGUGAAAGGAUGUAGAGACGCUUAAACAACUAGGAUGUUGGCUCAGAAGCAGCCACCAUUUAAAGAGUGCGUAACAGCUCACUAGUCGAGUAUCUCCGCGCCGAAAAUUUACCGGGGCUAAGCAUAACACCGAAUUUACGGAUUAGAAGCAAUUUUAGUGGUAGGGGAGCGUUCCAUGAGCGGCGAAGUCAUACCGAGAGGAGUGGUGGAGCGAAUGGAAGUGAGAAUGCCGGCGUGAGUAACGAAACUGGGUGAGAAUCCCAGUCACCGUUUGACAAAGGUUUCCUGGGGAAGGUUCGUCCACCCAGGGUAAGUCGGGACCUAAGGCGAGGCCGAGAGGCGUAGUCGAUGGACAUCAGGUUGAGAUUCCUGAACCCGAUCAUAGAGUGAAGUAAUGACAGAGAGGGCUAAUCGAGCCGCCGACUGGAAGAGGCGGUCCAAGCGAGGUACCUGAAUCACAGGCAAAUCCGUGAUUCGCAAGGGGGAAGGCGUGACGGGGAUUGAAUGGCUACGGCCUAGUAGAGAAGGAGAGGAAGCCAGCUUUCGAGAAAAGUUGCUAGCGAUACAAAUAUGAUCGGCCCGUACCGAGAACGAACACACGUGGUCAAGGAGAGUAUCCUAAGGUGAGCGAGAAAACUAUUGUUAAGGAACUCUGCAAAAUUACUUCGUAAGUUAGCGAGAAGAAGUGCUGCAGCGAUGCAGUCGCAGUGAAGAGGCCCAGGUAACUGUUUAACAAAAACACAGCUCUAUGCGAAGUCGUAAGACGAUGUAUAUGGGGUGAUGCCUGCCCAGUGCUGGAAGGUUAAGAGGAGAAGUGAACCGAAAGGGGAAGCCUUGAAUUGAAGCCCCAGUGAACGGCGGCCGUAACUAUAACGGUCCUAAGGUAGCGAAAUUCCUUGUCAGGUAAGUUCUGACGCGCACGAAUGGUAUAAUAAUCUGGGCGCUGUCUCGACAAUAGACUCGGUGAAAUCUUAAUACCUGUGAAGAUGCAGGUUACCCGCGACUAGACGGAAAGACCCCAUGGAGCUUUACUAUAACUUAAUAUUGAGCAUUUGUGGAUCAUGUACAGGAUAGGUAGGAGACGAAGAAGUAGGGGCGUCAGCCCGUAUGGAGUCAACGUUGGGAUACUACUCUUGAUCUACGGAUGUUCUAACCAAGGCCCUGCACGGGGUCGGGGACAGUGUUAGGCAGGUAGUUUGACUGGGGCGGUCGCCUCCCAAAGAGUAACGGAGGCGCCCCAAGGUACCCUCAGCACGGAUGGAAAUCGUGCAUUGAGUGCAAAGGCAUAAGGGUGCUUGACUGCGAGACAGACAAGUCGAGCAGGGACGAAAGUCGGGCUUAGUGAU